UCCUGACAGAUGUUUCAUGUGAAACACUGACAAUCCCAAGACAGGAGAAAUCACAUG
Molecule: non-coding RNA, 57 nt
Filed under: unclassified sequences
Source: RNAcentral